CGAGCUUCCGUUGAAUGACGUGCUUGCACUGAUUUCAACAAUGAAGCGAGUGGCGAACUGGUGAGUAACACGUGGGGAAUCUGCCCAGAAGCAGGGGAUAACACUUGGAAACAGGUGCUAAUACCGUAUAACAACAAAAUCCGCAUGGAUUUUGUUUGAAAGGUGGCUUCGGCUAUCACUUCUGGAUGAUCCCGCGGCGUAUUAGUUAGUUGGUGAGGUAAAGGCCCACCAAGACGAUGAUACGUAGCCGACCUGAGAGGGUAAUCGGCCACAUUGGGACUGAGACACGGCCCAAACUCCUACGGGAGGCAGCAGUAGGGAAUCUUCCACAAUGGACGAAAGUCUGAUGGAGCAAUGCCGCGUGAGUGAAGAAGGGUUUCGGCUCGUAAAACUCUGUUGUUAAAGAAGAACACCUUUGAGAGUAACUGUUCAAGGGUUGACGGUAUUUAACCAGAAAGCCACGGCUAACUACGUGCCAGCAGCCGCGGUAAUACGUAGGUGGCAAGCGUUGUCCGGAUUUAUUGGGCGUAAAGCGAGCGCAGGCGGUUUUUUAAGUCUGAUGUGAAAGCCUUCGGCUUAACCGGAGAAGUGCAUCGGAAACUGGGAGACUUGAGUGCAGAAGAGGACAGUGGAACUCCAUGUGUAGCGGUGGAAUGCGUAGAUAUAUGGAAGAACACCAGUGGCGAAGGCGGCUGUCUAGUCUGUAACUGACGCUGAGGCUCGAAAGCAUGGGUAGCGAACAGGAUUAGAUACCCUGGUAGUCCAUGCCGUAAACGAUGAGUGCUAAGUGUUGGAGGGUUUCCGCCCUUCAGUGCUGCAGCUAACGCAUUAAGCACUCCGCCUGGGGAGUACGACCGCA
RNAcentral lists this ribosomal RNA (859 nucleotides) under Levilactobacillus brevis. Its description in RNAcentral is "bacterial SSU rRNA". It matches the Rfam family "Bacterial small subunit ribosomal RNA", at positions 43 to 890 of the family's 1533-position model. The record is from RNAcentral. Lineage: Bacteria; Bacillati; Bacillota; Bacilli; Lactobacillales; Lactobacillaceae.